GGUGAGAUAUUCCUGCACAUCCUCUGGGGACCCCAGAAUGAGGGGGACUCGCUGGUGAAUUGCCUCGGGUUUCACGUCCAGUACAGGCUGGGUCCCCGUGGUUGCCAAGCCUCCUGCCUGCUCAAUGAUGUAGGCCACGGGAUUGCAUUCAUACAGGAGCCGGAGCUGUGGAGGAACAGAGGCAGGACAAAUUCACCAAGAGCCUAGCAACAUGAAGAGAGAUGCCAGGAAGAGGAGAUAAGCCAGGAAACAGAAGCCGACCGCAGGAUCCCCACAAUGAGAGCAGGAGAUGGGGGCCUGCUGGCAGAGCCCAGGCUUGGCUGUGGUCACUCUGAGCCUGCCCUGUGGUGGUUUCGCAACUGGUGGGAAGAUCAGGGAUCACAUGGAGCCCACAGGAAGCCCAAGCAGUAACACAGCAAGCAGGAAGACAAUUCAAAGGAAGAGGCCAUAGUCUUCUUUCUCUUCCUUUGUGGCUUCCACUGUCAGCGAGGUACGAGGAACCCAGCUGUGUGUGUCUCCCCAGUUCUCACCCCCAGAUUAACGUUUUCAGGAAGAUGGGCCAUCAACAGUGAGAGGAAGAAGUUACAUUGUUGUAUGAGGGAUGCAUUUUAACCAUUAAUUUGUGGUACAUGCCGGGCGCGGUGGCUCAAGCCUGUAAUCCCAGCACUUUGGGAGGCCGAGGCGGGCGGAUCACGAGGUCAGGAGAUCGAGACCAUCCUGGCUAACACGGUGAAACCCCGUCUCUACUAAAAUUACAAAAGAACAUUAGCCGGGCGAGGUGGCGGGCGCCUGUAGUCCCAGCUACUCGGGAGGCUGAGGCAGGAGAAUGGCGUGAACCCGGGAGGCGGAGCUUGCAGUGAGCCGAGAUCGCGCCACUGCACUCCAGUCUGGGCGACAGAGCGAGACUCCGUCUC
Macaca mulatta (Rhesus monkey) is the source of this 914-nucleotide non-coding RNA. NCBI's taxonomy places the organism in Eukaryota, Metazoa, Chordata, Mammalia, Primates, Cercopithecidae. The record is from RefSeq and is a predicted model, not a curated record.